AGAAGCAUGUGUUGUUGCGGAUGCAGAUUCCUCCGUGUUCGCAUGCAGGUUCGCACCUCGCCUUGGGGUCAAAAACGAACCCGACCGCGACUCCCCGGGGCGCGUCCGAGCCCGCGGAGCAAAGAGCGACCACGGCGGCCAAGAGCACCGUCAAACCAAGACCCACAAAACCCAUGUUUGGUGUUUUGGUUUUGUUUGUCUCUACUGGGGAGAAAAAAAAGAGCGAGAGAGAGAAAGAGGGGGAAUGAGCAAGCAGACAGCGGUGGACGGAGAUGGAGGAGAAGGUACCGAGACUUCCCCUCGUCGCCGCCGCUGUUGAUUUUCUGGGAAACACGAACAGACCUGCACAUGUCCAUGCAAGGAGGUGGUGUUCCCCCCACAGUCCACAUACUGGUACAUCUCCUGGGAGACCUGCUCCGCGUGGCCAAAGUAUGACGUAGUCACCGUCACCCUGAAAAACCACCAGAGAGUCAACAACUGUACAUCCCAUAACAAGUUGUGUUGCUGUUUUCCUGGUAAAGCCAACUGUUUGAUUCAUUCUCCCAAGAUGUCUAGACACAGACUAAAUCACCGUUUUUGAGGUGGGUAAAGACAUCUUUUGUUAAAUGCAUCAAACUGAAGCAAGGGGUAUUUAGGGCAUUAUGGUAUUAAAAUAAAAAACAUUGAAUUGCAAGAGUGGGCGUUA
Molecule: long non-coding RNA, 685 nt
Organism: Perca flavescens (yellow perch)
Lineage: Eukaryota; Metazoa; Chordata; Actinopteri; Perciformes; Percidae
Exons: 3
Source: RefSeq, a predicted model, not a curated record